This is a long non-coding RNA of Platichthys flesus (European flounder), 978 nucleotides long. RefSeq lists it as uncharacterized. The record is from RefSeq and is a predicted model, not a curated record. The transcript is spliced from 2 exons. NCBI's taxonomy places the organism in Eukaryota, Metazoa, Chordata, Actinopteri, Pleuronectiformes, Pleuronectidae.
AUGCCCCACAAUACGCGGAAAUCACGGAAGAUUUAGAAGAACGAAUAUGGACCAAAUAGAAGAGCAAUUGGCAGAAGAGAUCCGAAAGUAUGACCACUUGUUUAACCCGUCACUGACUGGCCGAUUUGUCCGCCAGAAAUAGGCUAUGAGGAUCCGGAGUGGCGAUGUAAAUAAACAGUCGACGAAGAAGAAGACGUCUCUUCGUUGUGUGUUUUGUCUUUGAAAAAAAACGUUACUCCGCCUAUGGUUCUGGCGGUGAAUUGCGUUGCAACACGCGCAGCACGUUAGAAAAGUAUAAACCGCAACGAGUCCGUCGAUGCAGCUGCGUGGCCUUCCGCGGUAGGACUAUAAUUCUGCCUUAAGUUCUACCACAUGAGCUUAGUUUUUCCCAAAGACGGACAGUCAGGAAGCCUCGGAUCAUCCGGCCUCACUGUAUCGGAUCCCUUUCGAGGAUUCUCUGCAACUUCUACAGAUGCACCAUAGAGAGCAUCCUGACUGGUUGCAUCACCGCCUGGUAUGGCAGCUGCACCGCCCUGAACCGUAAGGCUUUACAGAGGGUGGUGAAGUCUGCCCAGCACAUCACCAGGACAGAGCUACCAUCCAUAGAGGACCUCUACACCCAGCGGUGCAGGAAGAAGAGCAGCCGGAUUAUUGAAGACCCCUUUCACCCCAGCCAUAAACCAUCUGGCCGACGGUACCGCAGCAUACGGGCCCGCACCACCAGGCUCAGAGACAGUUUCAUCCCCCAGGCCAUACGACUUUUAAACUCCUCUCCGUGACAUAUCUGCAUAUUUGCACUUUUGUUGUUUUAUUUUCUCCUGAGUUGUUUAUAUAUAUUUAGAUAUAAAUAUAUUAUUUUAUUUUAAUGUAUAGGUUGUAAUUACUUUGUUAGAAGAGAGCCUGAGACUCAAGCAUUUCACUGCCAGCGACUGCUUAAUGUUAUUGUUGUGCAUUUGACUAUAAAAAUCUUGAAUCUUU